This is an RNA transcript of Camellia sinensis, 1083 nucleotides long. It is a transcript of the gene named phosphoglycerate mutase-like protein 2, with no coding region annotated. NCBI's taxonomy places the organism in Eukaryota, Viridiplantae, Streptophyta, Magnoliopsida, Ericales, Theaceae. The record is from RefSeq and is a predicted model, not a curated record.
AUUGUAUACCACUCCAACCGGUUACAAUUUUCUUUACAGAUUGUUUUAUGUUCCACAAACCCUCUUCACUGUUUGCCCAAAACGCUUCUGUUCUUCAGACACGACUCCGAAGCUAUUCUUCGCCAUCGAAGACUAUCCCGCGAACACAACCUGCCCUCAACUUCGCCUCAAGCAGGUUGUGGACCCAAAAGAAAAGGAAAUAGCAAUUGUCACGCAUAGUGGAUUCUUGUUCCAUGUGCAGUUGGCAAUGAUUGUCACCCUUUGAUUAAAAAAGAAAUUUCCAAGCAUUUUGCAAAUUGUGAGCUUCACUCUAUGGUCAUUGUGGACAAAAGCAUGUCAGAAUCAGAUCCCCCAACAACUAAUUAUCCAGGGAAGAUUCCUCCCGACCACGAUGCCCCUAGCGAUGUUGUGGAUGAGAAGAACUGAAGAAAGACAUCCCCAAUUCCUGAUUUGCAGGGAUAAAGAACUUCCAAUUCAUUAGCUUUAGAGGGUACGUACAAGUGUAGAUACGAUGGAUGUCCAUAUUGACCUGGAUGGACUUGUAGCACAAGAAAGACAUGAGGAAUGUCAAGUUAGAACUAAAACAGAUGUGGAAAGCCUUUUGUGGUGAAGAUUCUAAGAAUUCAACUAGUUCUAAUAAUAGUGAGUAGGACUCUGAUGGGUCCAACCAUGAUGACAGCCAACAAAUGGACACAGACAAUUAUGGUUGACCAAACUUUGCAAACAGUGUUACUUUUUUCAGCCAAUUAUUUUGCGAACAGUGUUACUUUUUCUCCCCUUUAUUAGAAAACGAAAAUUGUAAACAACGGCAGACUUCAUGAAUGGCUUAUGUGAUGGACAACAUUUGGAUGGUUUAUGUGAACAAUAUUAUUUAGGAUGAUGCUUCGUCAUUUUGGAUAGAUAUGUCCAACUAAAUAUUUUUUUGUUGCAAUGCCAAUGAUGUAUGUAUAGGUUGUUGAAACUUAUGGAUACCAAUCAACUACGCAGUGGAUACAUUGAUUCCAAUACUUAUGAUAUUUAGGCACGGAAUGUACUUGAAGGAGAUAAUUCGUUCCAUUUCUUUGAUGUUCUUUUUUUCUAAGU